This 793-nucleotide ribosomal RNA is filed under the name uncultured bacterium. RNAcentral describes it as "bacterial SSU rRNA". It matches the Rfam family "Bacterial small subunit ribosomal RNA", at positions 557 to 1351 of the family's 1533-position model. The record is from RNAcentral.
GGCGUAAAGAGCUCGUAGGUGGUUUGAUACGUCGGGUGUGAAAUUCAGGGGCUCAACCCCUGACCUGCAUUCGAUACGGUCAAGCUAGAGUUUGGUAGGGGAGACUGGAAUUCCUGGUGUAGCGGUGGAAUGCGCAGAUAUCAGGAGGAACACCGAUGGCGAAGGCAGGUCGCUGGGCCAAUACUGACACUGAGGAGCGAAAGCGUGGGGAGCGAACAGGAUUAGAUACCCUGGUAGUCCACGCCGUAAACGGUGGGCGCUAGUUGUGCGAACCUUCCACGGUUUGUGCGACGCAGCUAACGCAUUAAGCGCCCCGCCUGGGGAGUACGAUCGCAAGAUUAAAACUCAAAGGUAUUGACUGGGCCCCGCACAAGCAGCGGAGCAUGCGGCUUAAUUCGACGCAACGCGAAGAACCUUACCAAGGCUUGACAUAUACAGGAAUACGGCAGAGAUGUCGUAGCGGUUAAACGUCUGUAUACAGGUGGUGCAUGGUUGUCGUCAGCUCGUGUCGUGAGAUGUUGGGUUAAGUCCCGCAACGAGCGCAACCCUCGUUCUGUGUUGCCAGCAUUUAGUUGGGGACUCACAGGAGACUGCCGGGGUUAACUCGGAGGAAGGUGGGGAUGACGUCAAAUCAUCAUGCCCCUUAUGUCUUGGGCUGCACGCAUGCUACAAUGGCUGGUACAAAGGGCUGCAAUACUGCAAAGUGGAGCGAAUCCCAAAAAGCCAGUCUCAGUUCGGAUUGGGGUCUGCAACUCGACCCCAUGAAGUCGGAGUUGCUAGUAAUCGUAGAUCA